RNAcentral lists this transfer RNA (74 nucleotides) under Malassezia sympodialis ATCC 42132. RNAcentral describes it as "tRNA-Leu (CAA) (tRNA-Leu-CAA-1-1)". It matches the Rfam family "tRNA". From Rfam's summary of the family: Transfer RNA (tRNA) molecules are approximately 80 nucleotides in length. Their secondary structure includes four short double-helical elements and three loops (D, anti-codon, and T loops). Lineage: Eukaryota; Fungi; Basidiomycota; Malasseziomycetes; Malasseziales; Malasseziaceae. The record is from RNAcentral.
GGUAGGAUGGCCGAGUGGUCUAAGGCGGUUGAUUCAAGCCCAACUUAUCCUGGGUUCGAAUCCCAGUUCUACCA